This 241-nucleotide unclassified non-coding RNA is filed under the name Hevea brasiliensis (rubber tree). Lineage: Eukaryota; Viridiplantae; Streptophyta; Magnoliopsida; Malpighiales; Euphorbiaceae. The record is from RNAcentral.
GAAAAAGGGUUAAAGAAGAAGGAGCAGUCUUGGGUACUGUGUCUGAUACAUAGUUGUUGCUGAAGGAACAAUCAUGGCCGUGGAUGAGAAUGGCUCCUUGAAUCGGACGGACGAUAGUGCUGUAAAGAAUGAUUCCGCUGCCGUCGAUCAGAACGGUGCGCCACGGUCAACGAUACCCAGUGAUCAGAAUAUUCAAAAGAUGUCUGUUGAUCAUCAGCCCCAGAAAACGAGUGUGCAGCAU